Non-coding RNA from Spodoptera litura, 285 nucleotides. NCBI's taxonomy places the organism in Eukaryota, Metazoa, Arthropoda, Insecta, Lepidoptera, Noctuidae. The record is from RefSeq and is a predicted model, not a curated record.
AUGUAAAUGAAGAAGCUAAGUUAGCCCUUCAUUUAAUUUAAAUUUCCCGCGUAUUUUAGUUUAGACUUUAUACGUCAGUAUAAUCUGUGGUGACAGCUUUUUUCCACUAUGUCAAAGACAAUGGUUUUGUUUCGUCUCGAGAUUUUAGAAUAAGCGCGAAAGAUAUUUGUGAAAAUUAUUUUUAAAAUAAGGAUACAAAGGAUUGUUUGAAGCAAUAGCUCUUAAUGUUGUUUCUUUUACAGAGCAACAACAUAAGUAUCUUGUUUCAUUAUCCAACCUAUUACA